Molecule: ribosomal RNA, 423 nt
Filed under: uncultured bacterium
Lineage: Bacteria
Description: partial 16S ribosomal RNA
Rfam family: Bacterial small subunit ribosomal RNA
Source: RNAcentral
GAAUUUUGGACAAUGGGCGAAAGCCUGAUCCAGCAAUGCCGCGUGCAGGAUGAAGGCCUUCGGGUUGUAAACUGCUUUUGUACGGAACGAAAAGCUUUGGGUUAACACCCUGGAGUAAUCACGGUACCGUAAGAACAAGCACCGGAUAACUACGGGCAAGCCGACGCGGUAAUCCGUAGGGUUCAAGCGUUAAUCGGAAUUACUGGGGGUAAAUCGUGUGCAGGCGGUUUUGUAAGAAAUAGGUGAAAUCCCCGGGCUCAACCUGGGAACUGCCUUUGUGACUCCAACGCUCUAUUACGUCAGAGGGUGGUGAAAUUCCGCGUGUAGCAGUGAAAUGCGUAGAUAUGCGGAGGAACACCGAUGGCGAAGGCAACCCCCUGGGCCUGUACUGACGCUCAUGCACGAAAGCGUGGGGAGCAAACA